GCCGGCGUGGAGCCUAGGCGGCCGGCCCGUGGGUGCCGGCCGCGGGAGGAAGUGUGGGGCGGGCCUCGAUCGCCGACUGACCCCGCUCUGAACGUUGCAGAGACACGAGGCGCAGACACGGGUGGAGCUGAAAUGAGCUUCACGAAGUUGUCGUUGAGGGCGAUGCUGGCUUUAGCAUCGAAGAUGGAUGAGUGGGUAUCGGUGACAAAGUCCGUGGAGACAACCUGGGUGUCAGAAUUUAGAAGGUAAGCGUGGGUCGCAGAGCAAGGACCUCCAAAAGCUCAGGCUCUGACUCUCAGGCAUAUUGGCCAUCCAUUCAUGUACAGUAUUUGACGGAGCCCUACUGUGUCCAGGCUCUGGGGAGGAGGUAUGAGGAAGGCACAUGGGGGCUUUGCUGGUGGGGGAGUGGCCAAAGGACACAGGCCACAAACACCCUGAUGCUGCACCAAUAAGUAUCAUUUUCUGGGAAUACUGCAGGUACUUGGAAUGGCUGGCACAGAGGCCCUUGAGGGGAGGCGUGGAGGCUGGAUCUGGAUGACUUAGGAGGGGCUGGCCAAGUCAGGCCCUCAGCAGUAUCUGAGGUGGAAGGGCUGCAACACAGGGAGGGGCUCGGAGGAUUUUGACCCUGGUGUGGUGGAAGGCCACAGGAAGUUUUGCAGCAGUGGGGAGGACGUGAUCUGAUUUUGUUAAAACAAGAGGUCCAGGUGGCGGUGUGAGGGUGGACCUGCAGGAGCUAAAGCAGGAAGACAGCACCAGAGAUGACAUUACUGGGAGUAAAGGGACAGUGACAUCCACUCCUCACAGGGAAGGCAGCUGGCCAUGAGCAAGUGUUGAAAAAUGGGAUCUGUUGUCUUCUUCACUAAGCAUGUAUUGAGUAUCUGCUGUGUGCCAGGCCCUGGGAAGAUGGCUGGAACUAUGGAUGUAAAAAGAGUCCCCAAGUCCUUGCUUUCUUGGAGUGCACAUGUUAGCAGGACCAACAAUGACUACAAAGUGAAAUUUCAGAGGUAGUGUUUUCUCCACUCUAGCCGCUGGAGAAAAGCUGCUGCACUAGGAAGGUCUAGCCUGGAGGAGCUUCAGCAACGAAGCAUCACCUAGAGCAUCAAAGUGAUGUGAAACCCAGCCCGCCGAGCUUCUCAAGCAGCCGCGACUGUGCUCAGAGAUGUCCACUCGAAACCCGGCCCCUGCUUUUACCCUUCCAUCGCGCGCGAGCGGCGCACAGCCCACGCGGAGGGGGGCGGUUCCCGUCCCCACCGCCAUGGCCAUAGAAACCACUUUGCCAACAAACCCGGGGCCGACAGGGGUGAGACUGGAGGGAAGCUGCUCCGGAUGGAAGAGACCGCGCCUCCUCCCCCCUCCCUCGCGGAAGCGAGAUCCGAUCAGGCGAGCGCUGCUCCUUGACCCCAUUCCCUUUCCCUCCCCGAGGGAGUUCCGGCGCCUCCCUCACCCUGGCAUUGUGGUCGCAGCAG
This is a long non-coding RNA of Rhinolophus ferrumequinum (greater horseshoe bat), 1466 nucleotides long. RefSeq lists it as uncharacterized. The record is from RefSeq and is a predicted model, not a curated record. The transcript is spliced from 4 exons. Lineage: Eukaryota; Metazoa; Chordata; Mammalia; Chiroptera; Rhinolophidae.